RNAcentral lists this ribosomal RNA (497 nucleotides) under uncultured bacterium. RNAcentral describes it as "partial 16S ribosomal RNA". It matches the Rfam family "Bacterial small subunit ribosomal RNA", at positions 28 to 507 of the family's 1533-position model. The record is from RNAcentral.
GAUGAACGCUGGCGGCGUGCCUAAUACAUGCAAGUCGAGCGAACAGACGAGGAGCUUGCUCCUUUGACGUUAGCGGCGGACGGGUGAGUAACACGUGGGUAACCUACCUAUAAGACUGGGAUAACUUCGGGAAACCGGAGCUAAUACCGGAUAAUAUUUUGAACCGCAUGGUUCGAUAGUGAAAGAUGGCUCUGCUAUCACUUAUAGAUGGACCUGCGCCGUAUUAGCUAGUUGGUAAGGUAACGGCUUACCAAGGCAACGAUACGUAGCCGACCUGAGAGGGUGAGCGGCCACACUGGAACUGAGACACGGUCCAGACUCCUACGGGAGGCAGCAGUAGGGAAUCUUCCGCAAUGGGCGAAAGCCUGACGGAGCAACGCCGCGUGAGUGAUGAAGGUCUUCGGAUCGUAAAACUCUGUUAUUAGGGAAGAACAAACGUGUAAGUAACUGUGCACGUCUUGACGGUACCUAAUCAGAAAGCCACGGCUAACUACGUG